GCCCAGCUUGCUGGGUGGAUUAGUGGCGAACGGGUGAGUAACACGUGAGUAACCUGCCCUUAACUCUGGGAUAAGCCUGGGAAACUGGGUCUAAUACCGGAUAGGAGCGUCCACCGCAUGGUGGGUGUUGGAAAGAUUUAUCGGUUUUGGAUGGACUCGCGGCCUAUCAGCUUGUUGGUGAGGUAAUGGCUCACCAAGGCGACGACGGGUAGCCGGCCUGAGAGGGUGACCGGCCACACUGGGACUGAGACACGGCCCAGACUCCUACGGGAGGCAGCAGUGGGGAAUAUUGCACAAUGGGCGCAAGCCUGAUGCAGCGACGCCGCGUGAGGGAUGACGGCCUUCGGGUUGUAAACCUCUUUCAGUAGGGAAGAAGCGAAAGUGACGGUACCUGCAGAAGAAGCACCGGCUAACUACGUGCCAGCAGCCGCGGUAAUACGUAGGGUGCGAGCGUUAUCCGGAAUUAUUGGGCGUAAAGAGCUCGUAGGCGGUUUGUCGCGUCUGUCGUGAAAGUCCGGGGCUUAACCCCGGAUCUGCGGUGGGUACGGGCAGACUAGAGUGCAG
Molecule: ribosomal RNA, 564 nt
Rfam family: Bacterial small subunit ribosomal RNA